This 467-nucleotide ribosomal RNA is filed under the name uncultured bacterium. RNAcentral's name for it is "partial 16S ribosomal RNA". It matches the Rfam family "Bacterial small subunit ribosomal RNA", at positions 28 to 507 of the family's 1533-position model. The record is from RNAcentral.
GACGAACGCUGGCGGCGUGCUUAACACAUGCAAGUCGAACGGAAAGGCCUCUUUCGGGGGGUACUCGAGUGGCGAACGGGUGAGUAACACGUGAGUAACCUGCCCUUGACUUUGGGAUAACUUCAGGAAACUGGGGCUAAUACCGGAUAGGAGCUCCUGCUGCAUGGUGGGGGUUGGAAAGUUUCGGCGGUUGGGGAUGGACUCGCGGCUUAUCAGCUUGUUGGUGGGGUAGUGGCUUACCAAGGCUUUGACGGGUAGCCGGCCUGAGAGGGUGACCGGCCACAUUGGGACUGAGAUACGGCCCAGACUCCUACGGGAGGCAGCAGUGGGGAAUAUUGCACAAUGGGUGGAAGCCUGAUGCCGCAACGCCGUGUGCGGGAUGACGGCCUUCGGGUUGUAAACCGCUUUCGCUCAUGACGAAGCUUUGUGUGACGGUAGUGGGUAAAGAAGCACCGGCUAACUACGUG